This 254-nucleotide ribosomal RNA is filed under the name uncultured bacterium. RNAcentral's name for it is "partial 16S ribosomal RNA". It matches the Rfam family "Bacterial small subunit ribosomal RNA", at positions 524 to 776 of the family's 1533-position model. The record is from RNAcentral.
UACGGAGGACCCAAGCGUUAUUCGGAAUUACUGGGCGUAAAGAGUUGCGUAGGUGGUUUAGUAAGUAUGUAGUUAAAUCUUGUGGCUCAACCAUAAGCUCAUUACAUAAACUGCUAGACUUGAGAGUGAGAGAGGUUACUGGAAUUCCCGGUGUAGGAGUGAAAUCCGUAGAUAUCGGGAGGAACACCAAUGGCGUAGGCAGGUAACUGGCUCAUUUCUGACACUAAGGCACGAAAGCGUGGGGAGCAAACGGG